CGGACGGGUGAGGAACACGUAGGAACUUGCCCUUCAGAGGGGGAUAACCAAGGGAAACUUUGGCUAAUACCGCGUAAUCUCGAGAGAGGAAAGCUGCUCGCAAGGGUGGCGCUGAAGGAGAGGCCUGCGUCCGAUUAGCUAGUUGGUGAGGUAAGAGCUCACCAAGGCGAUGAUCGGUAACUGGUCUGAGAGGACGACCAGUCACACUGGGACUGAGACACGGCCCAGACUCCUACGGGAGGCAGCAGUGGGGAAUCUUGGACAAUGGGGGCAACCCUGAUCCAGCGAUGCCGCGUGGGUGAAGAAGGCCUUCGGGUUGUAAAGCCCUUUAGGCUGGGACGAAGUGAGGUGUAGGAAAUGAUGCUUCAUUGACGGUACCAGCAGAAUAAGCACCGGCAAACUCUGUGCCAGCAGCCGCGGUAAUACAGAGGGUGCAAGCGUUAAUCGGAGUUACUGGGCGUAAAGGGCGCGUAGGCGGUGAUAUGAGUGUGAUGUGAAAGCCCCGGGCUUAACCUGGGAAGUGCAUCGCAACGAUAUUACUGGAGUAGAUGAGAGGGUGGCGGAAUUUCCGGUGUAGCGGUGAAAUGCGUAGAGAUCGGAAGGAACGUCAAUGGCGAAGGCAGCCACCUGGCAUCAUACUGACGCUGAGGCGCGAAAGCGUGGGGAGCGAACAGGAUUAGAUACCCUGGUAGUCCACGCUGUAAACGAUGAGAACUAGAUGUUGAUUGGGGAACCAAGCAGUAUCGAAGCUAACGCGAUAAGUUCUCCGCCUGGGAAGUACGGCCGCAAGGUUGAAACUCAAUGAAUUGACGGGGCCCGCACAAGCGGUGGAGCAUGUGGUUUAAUUCGAUG
Molecule: ribosomal RNA, 852 nt
Filed under: uncultured microorganism
Description: bacterial SSU rRNA
Rfam family: Bacterial small subunit ribosomal RNA
Source: RNAcentral